RNAcentral lists this ribosomal RNA (484 nucleotides) under uncultured bacterium. RNAcentral's name for it is "partial 16S ribosomal RNA". It matches the Rfam family "Bacterial small subunit ribosomal RNA", at positions 30 to 507 of the family's 1533-position model. The record is from RNAcentral.
AUUGAACGCUGGCGGCAGGCCUAACACAUGCAAGUCGAGCGGAUGAAGGGAGCUUGCUCCUGGAUUCAGCGGCGGACGGGUGUGUAAUGCCUAGGAAUCUGCCUGGUAGUGGGGGAUAACGUCUGGAAACGGGCGCUAAUACCGCAUACGUCCUGCGGGAGCAAGUGGGGGGUCUUCGGACCUCACGCUAUCAGAUGAGCCUAGGUCGGAUUAGUUAGUUGGUGGGGUAAAGGCCUACCAAGGAGACGAUCCGUAACUGGUCUGAGAGGAUGAUCAGUCACACUGGAACUGAGACACGGUCCAUACUCCUACGGGAGGCAGCAGUGGGGAAUAUUGGACAGUGGGCGAAAGCCUGAUCCAGCCAGGCCGCGUGUGUGAAGAAGGUCUUCGGAUUGUAAAGCACGUUAAGUUGUGAGGAAGGGCAGUAAGUUAAGACCUUGCUGUUUUGACGUUACCAACAGAAUAAGCACCGGCUAACUUCGUG